Orcinus orca (killer whale) is the source of this 1229-nucleotide long non-coding RNA. RefSeq lists it as uncharacterized. Lineage: Eukaryota; Metazoa; Chordata; Mammalia; Artiodactyla; Delphinidae. The transcript has 3 exons. The record is from RefSeq and is a predicted model, not a curated record.
CCCUUUCCUUCAUCUGACCGAAAAUGAUAAAGGGAGAGCAAUCACCCCGAGCGGGAUCCCUGAAAUUUGGAGAUCUCUUGUGCCCAUUCUCGCGGAGAGGAGCGAGUUUCCUCUGGGAUGGAAGAAAUCCAGAUAUACUGUGGCAUUCCUCCCACCUGCCAGUCUGAUAACCUGAUCUGAAGAUCCUGAGAUGAGCUCGGUUCGGCUUUAGAGCAUCCAAGUUGACGUAAGCUCCGUGCAGUCUUUGCUGAGUGCCUACAGGUCUCACUUCACUUGAUCCUCAGCGUAUUCAUGCAAAAAUGUUCACAGCAGCUUUAUUUACAAUAGCUGAAGACUGAAAAUGACCCAUAUUUCAUCAACAAGGAACUUCCUGGUGGCGCAGUGGUUAAGAAUCUGCCUGCCAAUGCAGGGGACAGGGGUUUGAGCCCUGGUCCGGGAAGAUCCCACAUGCCCCGGAGCAACUAAGCCCGUGCACAACUACUGAGCCUGUGCUCUAGAGCCCAAGAGCCGCAACUACUGAACCUGCGUGCCACAGUUACUGAAGCCUGCGCACCUAGAGCCUGUGCUCUGCACCAAGAAGCCUGUGCACCACAACAAAGAGUAGCCCUUACUCGCCACAGCUAGAGAAAGCCCACGUGCGGCAAUGAAGACUCAGUGCAGCCAAAAAUAAAUAAAUUAAUUAAAAAAAAUAAAGGAUAUGGGUUUAAAAAAAGAAAAGAAAAGAAAAGAAAAUGGAUAGACACACUGUGGUACAUCCAUACAGCGUAAUACCACUCUCCUGAGUAGUAUACAAAUUCUGUGAAACAUGCUACCCAUCCAGGUACCAACAUGGAUAAACCUCAAAAACUUUAUGCUGAGCUAAAGAAACCAAACACAGCAAACAGUACAUGCUGUUGGAUUCCACUCAUAUAAAGUUCUAAAACAGACCAAAGUAACGUGGUAGAAAUCAGAACAGUGGUUGCCCCUGAGGGUGGAAGGUAUUGACUAGGAAGGGGCAUGAGGGAACUUUCUGAGAUGUUGGAAAUAUUCUGCUGGGCUCAAAUCUUAAUCCUGCCACCUAUCUGGCGGGUGAUCUCGGGCAAGUUUUUGUCUUCUGAGCCUUAGUUUUCUAACACUGCUAGAUCGUUGUGGAGAUUACAGAUGUAAAAAUAGGUCUGACUCAUAGCUUGCCACAUUCACAAAGAUUUGUUGAAUGUCUAAUGAAUGAUAAAAUAAUAACCAUUUAUUAA